This 450-nucleotide ribosomal RNA is filed under the name Triticum aestivum (bread wheat). RNAcentral describes it as "partial small subunit ribosomal RNA". The record is from RNAcentral. Lineage: Eukaryota; Viridiplantae; Streptophyta; Magnoliopsida; Poales; Poaceae.
AUGUUGUACCUGGGAUGGGGUGCACGCUACUGUGAGGGUUGUUCUGGGCACGACACAAACACACUUGUACCCGAAACAUCUACGGGUGCAUUCUCAUCAUGGUGUACCUGGAACACCUGCGGGCGCUUGUUGUACCUAGAACACCUGCAAGGGCAUGUUGUACCUGGGAUGAUUGUCGGACACUACUGUGAGGGCUGUUCCGGGCACAACACAACCAAAUUAGUUCUCGGAACAUCUACUGGUGCAUUCCCAUCAUGUUGUACCUGGAACACCUGCGGGCGCAUGUUAUACCUGGAAUACCUGCAGGGGCAUGCUGCACCUUGGACGGGGCACCACGCUACUGUGAGGGUUGUUCCGCGCAUGGCACAACCAAAUUUGUAUACGAAAUAUCUACUGGUGCAUUCUCAUCAUAUUGUACCAGGAACACCUGCGGGGGCAUGUUGUACCUAG